RNAcentral lists this transfer RNA (79 nucleotides) under Serratia marcescens. RNAcentral describes it as "tRNA-Asn(att)". The record is from RNAcentral. Lineage: Bacteria; Pseudomonadati; Pseudomonadota; Gammaproteobacteria; Enterobacterales; Yersiniaceae.
CCGCCAUUAGCUCAGCAGGAAGAGCGGUUAUUCUUAUUUUGGGUGACGGUGCGGGGUUCAAGUCCUCGAUGGCGGUCCA